GUAAGGCACGGUUACAAAAAUUGCAUUCUGGAUUGUACAGUCUUGAAGUUUUCUGGUUGAGGUUCUUCUCCCUUGAUUCUCUGCUAGAGGGCCUGGAGCAAAUGGGUGUUUCAAAUAUUGCAUUACAAGAAAUUACAAUCUCCAGCUGUGAUUCACUCACGUGCUUGCCGCUAGAAUUGUUCCCUAUGUUAAAGCUUCUUCGCAUCCGUGAUUGUCCGAAAUUGGAAAGGCUAUAUGCAUUUCAAGGAGAUUUCGCAUCUCCUGCCCUGCAGUUGGAAACAUUUUCUUUCAUCUCCCAACUAGAAUUGCUUGACCUUGAUUGUUCCAACAAAAUCUGUUACUGUCACUUGAAAUGGAUUUUGCAAAGGCUUCCCUCUCUUAAACACCUCUCUAUUCAUUCUGACCACAAUUUGGAAUCCUUUCCUAAGAAGACACUGUUGCCCUCCUCUCUUGCCUCUCUUGAAAUCUGGGAUUUUCAGAAUCUGAAAUCUCUUGACAGUGAGGGUCUUCAAGACCUCAAGUCUCUUAAAAAACUGAUUAUCAUAUCCUACCCUAAGCUCUCUUCGAUGCCAGAAGAGGGGCUGCCUUCUUCCGUUUCUUUUCUGAGUAUCUGGAAAUGUCCUUUGCUGGAAGAUAGGUGUCAACAGGGGACAGGUGAAGACUGGCGCAAGAUUUCUCACAUCCUCAAGAUUGAAAUUAAUGGGGAAUGCAUCAAUUGAUCCAAAGGCCUAGAAGAGUACUCCUGUCACCCAUUCGUCCAAUAUGCCAGCUUCAGAGUUUUCAUUCAACAACUAUGAGAACUUGAAAAACGCGUAAUACUCGUGGAUCCGGUGAUGCUGAAACCGAACCUGCAGCAACAAUUGAAAGAUUGACAAUGCAGCCUCCAUCCAGAGUGUAUCAACCUUUUGCUUCAGAUCCCUCAACAGGUAUAUGAAAAUCUGUGACCAUAUCCGAUUCAGUGAGCUAGACAUUCAAGAAAGACUUUACUUCAUAUUUGCAGACCAUGAUUUUAGGUAGGAUCUACCAUGCUUUAGAGUAGCAUCAUCCACAAUGAUUUUAAAUAAUGUGUUGAUUGUUGAUUGGAUACAUGUAUACACCAUGUAUAGGUAAGAUAAGAACAACUCAUCCGCAGCAUUUUUUUUCGCCCUUCAAAUGUUAUUUGAUCUGAAAAUCUGCUCUGUUAAAUUGAUUUUCUAUUGGAGCGAAAUCAUGGGGAUUUGUCAAAUAAUCACAAACUAUGUAAUAAGAGAGAUUAAUGG
This 1259-nucleotide unclassified non-coding RNA is filed under the name Hevea brasiliensis (rubber tree). Lineage: Eukaryota; Viridiplantae; Streptophyta; Magnoliopsida; Malpighiales; Euphorbiaceae. The record is from RNAcentral.